This 502-nucleotide ribosomal RNA is filed under the name Vibrio sp. 4N2,2 1. Its description in RNAcentral is "bacterial SSU rRNA". It matches the Rfam family "Bacterial small subunit ribosomal RNA", at positions 380 to 875 of the family's 1533-position model. Lineage: Bacteria; Pseudomonadati; Pseudomonadota; Gammaproteobacteria; Vibrionales; Vibrionaceae. The record is from RNAcentral.
AGCCUGAUGCAGCCAUGCCGCGUGUGUGAAGAAGGCCUUCGGGUUGUAAAGCACUUCAGUAGGGAGGAAGGUUCAUGCGUUAAUAGCGUAUGGAUUUGACGUUACCUACAGAAGAAGCACCGGCUAACUCCGUGCCAGCAGCCGCGGUAAUACGGAGGGUGCGAGCGUUAAUCGGAAUUACUGGGCGUAAAGCGCAUGCAGGUGGUUUGUUAAGUCAGAUGUGAAAGCCCGGGGCUCAACCUCGGAAUUGCAUUUGAAACUGGCAGACUAGAGUACUGUAGAGGGGGGUAGAAUUUCAGGUGUAGCGGUGAAAUGCGUAGAGAUCUGAAGGAAUACCGGUGGCGAAGGCGGCCCCCUGGACAGAUACUGACACUCAGAUGCGAAAGCGUGGGGAGCAAACAGGAUUAGAUACCCUGGUAGUCCACGCCGUAAACGAUGUCUACUUGGAGGUUGUGGCCUUGAGCCGUGGCUUUCGGAGCUAACGCGUUAAGUAGACCGCCUG